This 460-nucleotide ribosomal RNA is filed under the name uncultured bacterium. Its description in RNAcentral is "partial 16S ribosomal RNA". It matches the Rfam family "Bacterial small subunit ribosomal RNA", at positions 338 to 795 of the family's 1533-position model. The record is from RNAcentral.
CCUACGGGAGGCAGCAGUGAGGAAUAUUGGUCAAUGGGCGAGAGCCUGAACCAGCCAAGUAGCGUGAAGGAUGACUGCCCUACGGGUUGUAAACUUCUUUUGUCGGGGAGUAAAGUGCGGCCCUUGUGCCUUUUUGUAUUUCCUUUAUGAAUAAGAAUCGGCUAACUCCGUGCCAGCGGCCGCGGUAAUCCGGGGGAUCCGAGCUUUAUCGGGAUUUAUUGGGUUUAAAGGGAGCGUAGAUGGGUUGUUAAGUCAGGUGUGAAAGUUUGCGGCUCAACCGCAAAAUUGCAAUUGAUACUGGCAGUCUGGAGUUGAGUUGAGGUAGGCGGAAUGCGCGGUGUAGCGGUGAAAUGCUUAGAUAUCACGAAGAACUCCGAUUGCGAAGGCAGCAUACCAAAUCGCCACUGACACUGAGGCUCGAAAGUGUGGGUAUCAAACAGGAUUAGAUACCCUAGUAGUC